GAUGAACGCUGGCGGCGUGCCUAAUACAUGCAAGUCGAGCGAACAGACGAGGAGCUUGCUCCUCUGACGUUAGCGGCGGACGGGUGAGUAACACGUGGAUAACCUACCUAUAAGACUGGGAUAACUUCGGGAAACCGGAGCUACUACCGGAUAAUAUAUUGAACCGCAUGGUUCAAUAGUGAAAGACGGUUUUGCUGUCUGUUAUUGAUGGAUCCGCGCCGCAUUAGCUAGUUGGUAAGGUAACGGCUUACCAAGGCAACGAUGCGUAGCUGACCUGAGAGGAUGAUCAGCCACACUGGAACUGAGACACGGUCCAGACUCCUACGGGAGGCAGCAGUAGGGAAUCUUCCGCAAUGGGCGAAAGCCUGACGGAGCAACGCCGCGUGAGUGAUGAAGGUCUUCGGAUCGUAAAGCUCUGUUAUUAGGAAAGAACAAAAGUGUAAGUACAUAUGCACGUCUUGACGGUACCUAAUCAAAAAGCCACGGCUAACUACGUG
Molecule: ribosomal RNA, 497 nt
Filed under: uncultured bacterium
Lineage: Bacteria
Description: partial 16S ribosomal RNA
Rfam family: Bacterial small subunit ribosomal RNA
Source: RNAcentral